This 907-nucleotide ribosomal RNA is filed under the name uncultured bacterium. RNAcentral describes it as "bacterial SSU rRNA". It matches the Rfam family "Bacterial small subunit ribosomal RNA", at positions 9 to 913 of the family's 1533-position model. The record is from RNAcentral.
GAGUUUGAUCCUGGCUCAGAUUGAACGCAGGCGGCAGGCCUAACACAUGCAAGUCGAGCGGUAGAGAGGAGCUUGCUUCUCUUGAGAGCGGCGGACGGGUGAGUAAUGCCUAGGAAUCUGCCUAGUGGUGGGGGAUAACGUUCGGAAACGGACGCUAAUACCGCAUACGUCCUACGGGAGAAAGCGGGGGAUCUUCGGACCUCGCGCCAUUAGAUGAGCCUAGGUCGGAUUAGCUAGUUGGUGAGGUAAUGGCUCACCAAGGCGACGAUCCGUAACUGGUCUGAGAGGAUGAUCAGUCACACUGGAACUGAGACACGGUCCAGACUCCUACGGGAGGCAGCAGUGGGGAAUAUUGGACAAUGGGCGAAAGCCUGAUCCAGCCAUGCCGCGUGUGUGAAGAAGGUCUUCGGAUUGUAAAGCACUUUAAGUUGGGAGGAAGGGUCGUAACCUAAUACGUUACGGCUUUGACGUUACCGACAGAAUAAGCACCGGCUAACUUCGUGCCAGCAGCCGCGGUAAUACGAAGGGUGCAAGCGUUAAUCGGAAUUACUGGGCGUAAAGCGCGCGUAGGUGGUUCAGCAAGUUGGAUGUGAAAGCCCUGGGCUCAACCUGGGAACUGCAUCCAAAACUACUGAGCUAGAGUACGGUAGAGGGUAGUGGAAUUUCCUGUGUAGCGGUGAAAUGCGUAGAUAUAGGAAGGAACACCAGUGGCGAAGGCGACUACCUGGACUGAUACUGACACUGAGGUGCGAAAGCGUGGGGGAGCAACAGGAUUAGAUACCCUGGUAGUCCACGCCGUNAACGAUGUCGACUAGCCGUUGGGAUCCUUGAGAUCUUAGUGGCGCAGCUAACGCAUUAAGUCGACUGCCUGGGGAGUACGGCCGCAGGUUUAAACUCAAUGAAUUGA